RNAcentral lists this ribosomal RNA (465 nucleotides) under Vreelandella stevensii. RNAcentral describes it as "partial 16S ribosomal RNA". It matches the Rfam family "Bacterial small subunit ribosomal RNA", at positions 338 to 795 of the family's 1533-position model. Lineage: Bacteria; Pseudomonadati; Pseudomonadota; Gammaproteobacteria; Oceanospirillales; Halomonadaceae. The record is from RNAcentral.
CCUACGGGUGGCAGCAGUGGGGAAUAUUGGACAAUGGGGGGAACCCUGAUCCAGCCAUGCCGCGUGUGUGAAGAAGGCCCUCGGGUUGUAAAGCACUUUCAGUGAGGAAGAACGCCUGGUGGUUAAUACCCAUCAGGAAAGACAUCACUCACAGAAGAAGCACCGGCUAACUCCGUGCCGGCAGCCGCGGUAAUACGGAGGGUGCGAGCGUUAAUCGGAAUUACUGGGCGUAAAGCGCGCGUAGGUGGCUUGAUAAGCCGGUUGUGAAAGCCCCGGGCUCAACCUGGGAACGGCAUCCGGAACUGUCAAGCUAGAGUGCAGGAGAGGAAGGUAGAAUUCCCGGUGUAGCGGUGAAAUGCGUAGAGAUCGGGAGGAAUACCAGUGGCGAAGGCGGCCUUCUGGACUGACACUGACACUGAGGUGCGAAAGCGUGGGUAGCAAACAGGAUUAGAUACCCCUGUAGUC